RNAcentral lists this ribosomal RNA (751 nucleotides) under uncultured Glomeromycotina. Its description in RNAcentral is "SSU rRNA". It matches the Rfam family "Eukaryotic small subunit ribosomal RNA", at positions 338 to 1092 of the family's 1831-position model. Lineage: Eukaryota; Fungi; Glomeromycota. The record is from RNAcentral.
GGCCUACCAUGGUGGUAACGGGUAACGGGGUGUUAGGGCACGACACCGGAGAGGGAGCCUGAGAAACGGCUACCACAUCCAAGGAUGGCAGCAGGCGCGCAAAUUACCCAAUCCCGACACGGGGAGGUAGUGACAAUAAAUAACAAUACGGGGUUCUUUCGGAUCUCGUAAUUGGAAUGAGUACAAUUUAAAUCUCUUAACGAGGAACAAUUGGAGGGCAAGUCUGGUGCCAGCAGCCGCGGUAAUUCCAGCUCCAAUAGCGUAUAUUAAAGUUGUUGCAGUUAAAAAGCUCGUAGUUGAAUUUCGGGAUCAGUAGGUUGGUCGUGCCUAUGGUAUGUACUGGCUUUACUGGUUCCUCCUUCUUGAUGAUCUGUAAUGUCAUUAAUUUGGUGUUGCAGGGAGUCAGGACUGUUACUUUGAAAAAAUUAGAGUGUUUAAAGCAGGCAUACGCUUGAAUACAUUAGCAUGGAAUAAUGAAAUAGGACGUUCGAUCCUAUUUUGUUGGUUUCUAGGAUUGACGUAAUGAUUAAUAGGGAUAGUUGGGGGCAUUAGUAUUCAAUUGUCAGAGGUGAAAUUCUUGGAUUUAUUGAAGACUAACUACUGCGAAAGCAUUUGCCAAGGAUGUUUUCAUUAAUCAAGAACGAAAGUUAGGGGAUCGAAGACGAUCAGAUACCGUCGUAGUCUUAACCAUAAACUAUGCCGACUAGGGAUCGGAUGAUGUUAUUUUUAAUGACUCAUUCGGCGCCUUACG